CCAGGAGACAUGAAGAAUACUCCCAGGUGGUCACUCUUCCCAGGCGCUCUCCAGGUGGCCCAGGGCAGCCCAGGGCUCUGCCCCUGGUGUACUCUCUCUUUCUCUCACGAUGCUGGAACUAAUGCUGGGUGUGGCGUCUGCACCUGCAUGUCCCUACAGCUCUCUCGGCAUCUCGUACACAAGGUGAAGGCAAAGCGAGCGAGGAACCUAU
Molecule: small nucleolar RNA, 211 nt
Filed under: Echinops telfairi (small Madagascar hedgehog)
Lineage: Eukaryota; Metazoa; Chordata; Mammalia; Afrosoricida; Tenrecidae
Description: Small nucleolar RNA SNORA73 family (ENSETEG00000025066.1)
Source: RNAcentral